Molecule: ribosomal RNA, 175 nt
Filed under: uncultured bacterium
Lineage: Bacteria
Description: partial 16S ribosomal RNA
Rfam family: Bacterial small subunit ribosomal RNA
Source: RNAcentral
ACUCCUACGGGAGGCAGCAGUGGGGAAUAUUGGGCAAUGGGCGAAAGCCUGACCCAGCGACGCCGCGUGGGGGAAGAAGUCUUUCGGGAUGUAAACCCUUGUUGUACGGGACGAAACGAAUGACGGUACCGUACGAGGAAGCCCCGGCAAACUACGUGCCAGCAGCCGCGGUAAU